Molecule: ribosomal RNA, 680 nt
Filed under: Psychrobacter urativorans
Lineage: Bacteria; Pseudomonadati; Pseudomonadota; Gammaproteobacteria; Moraxellales; Moraxellaceae
Description: bacterial SSU rRNA
Rfam family: Bacterial small subunit ribosomal RNA
Source: RNAcentral
GUGAGUAAUACUUAGGAAUCUACCUAGUAGUGGGGGAUAGCACGGGGAAACUCGUAUUAAUACCGCAUACGACCUACGGGAGAAAGGGGGCAGUUUACUGCUCUCGCUAUUAGAUGAGCCUAAGUCGGAUUAGCUAGAUGGUGGGGUAAAGGCCUACCAUGGCGACGAUCUGUAGCUGGUCUGAGAGGAUGAUCAGCCACACCGGGACUGAGACACGGCCCGGACUCCUACGGGAGGCAGCAGUGGGGAAUAUUGGACAAUGGGGGAAACCCUGAUCCAGCCAUGCCGCGUGUGUGAAGAAGGCCUUUUGGUUGUAAAGCACUUUAAGCAGUGAAGAAGACUCCGUGGUUAAUACCCACGGACGAUGACAUUAGCUGCAGAAUAAGCACCGGCUAACUCUGUGCCAGCAGCCGCGGUAAUACAGAGGGUGCAAGCGUUAAUCGGAAUUACUGGGCGUAAAGGGAGCGUAGGUGGCUCGAUAAGUCAGAUGUGAAAUCCCCGGGCUCAACCUGGGAACUGCAUCUGAUACUGUUGAGCUAGAGUAUGUGAGAGGAAGGUAGAAUUCCAGGUGUAGCGGUGAAAUGCGUAGAGAUCUGGAGGAAUACCGAUGGCGAAGGCAGCCUUCUGGCAUAAUACUGACACUGAGGCUCGAAAGCGUGGGUAGCAAACAGGAUUAGAUA